AACGAACGCUGGCGGCAUGCCUAACACGUGCAAGUCGAACGAGACCUUCGGGUCUAGUGGCGCACGGGUGCGUAACGCGUGGGAACCUGCCCUUAGGUUCGGAAUAACUCCCCGAAAGGGGUGCUAAUACCGGAUAAUGUCUUCGGACCAAAGAUUUAUCGCCUUUGGAUGGGCCCGCGUUGGAUUAGCUAGUUGGUAGGGUAAAAGCCUACCAAGGCGACGAUCCAUAGCUGGUCUGAGAGGAUGAUCAGCCACACUGGGACUGAGACACGGCCCAGACUCCUACGGGAAGCAGCAGUGGGGAAUAUUGGACAAUGGGCGAAAGCCUGAUCCAGCAAUGCCGCGUGAGUGAUGAAGGCCUUAGGGUUGUAAAGCUCUUUUACCCGGGAUGAUAAUGACAGUACCGGGAGAAUAAGCUCCGGCUAACUCCGUG
This 433-nucleotide ribosomal RNA is filed under the name uncultured bacterium. Its description in RNAcentral is "partial 16S ribosomal RNA". It matches the Rfam family "Bacterial small subunit ribosomal RNA", at positions 29 to 507 of the family's 1533-position model. The record is from RNAcentral.